AUGAACGCUGGCGGCGUGCCUCAUCCCUGCCAGUCGAGCGAACAGACGAGGAGCUUGCUCCUCUGACGUUAGCGGCGGACGGGUGAGUAACACGUGGAUAACCUACCUAUAAGACUGGGAUAACUUCGGGAAACCGGAGCUAAUACCGGAUAAUAUAUUGAACCGCAUGGUUCAAUAGUGAAAGACGGUUUUGCUGUCACUUAUAGAUGGAUCCGCGCCGCAUUAGCUAGUUGGUAAGGUAACGGCUUACCAAGGCAACGAUGCGUAGCCGACCUGAGAGGGUGAUCGGCCACACUGGAACUGAGACACGGUCCAGACUCCUACGGGAGGCAGCAGUAGGGAAUCUUCCGCAAUGGGCGAAAGUCUGACGGAGCAACGCCGCGUGAGUGAUGAAGGUCUUCGGAUCGUAAAACUCUGUUAUUAGGGAAGAACAAAUGUGUAAGUAACUAUGCACGUCUUGACGGUACCUAAUCAGAAAGCCACGGCUAACUACGUG
This 496-nucleotide ribosomal RNA is filed under the name uncultured bacterium. RNAcentral describes it as "partial 16S ribosomal RNA". It matches the Rfam family "Bacterial small subunit ribosomal RNA", at positions 29 to 507 of the family's 1533-position model. The record is from RNAcentral.